UCCGUAGGUGAACCUGCGGAAGGAUCAUUAUCGUGCCAAAGGCUGUUGUCCCUCGGGAUGGCUAGUCUUUGUUACCCUUACCCUCUGUCUUUGCGCACCAUGUUUGUUUCCUUGGUAGGCUUGCCUGCCAUUGAAAUCCACCCACAACCUCUUUGCAAUUGCAUUCAACGUCUGAUAAAUUAAUAAUUACAACUUUUAACAAUGGAUCUCUUGGUUCUGGCAUCGAUGAAGAACGCAGCGAAAUGCGAUAAGUAGUGUGAAUUGCAGAAUUCAGUGAAUCAUCGAAUCUUUGAACGCACAUUGCGCCCCUUGGUAUUCCAGGGGCAUGCCUGUUCGAGCGUCAUUUGUACCCUCAAGCUAUGCUUGGUGUUGGGCGUCUGUCUGGCCUUGUGCCUAGACUCGCCUCAAAGUGAUUGGCAGCCCGUGGGAGGUGGAAUAAUGCAGCACAUUUUGCAUUUGACCGUACCUCACUGUGGCGUCCAUAAGCAUUUCUCACUUUUGACCUCGGAUCAGGUAGGGAUACCCGCUGAACUUAAGCAUAUCAAUAAGCGGAGGAUCGACUGCCAAGGGCACACAGGGGGGGGGGAUA
RNAcentral lists this ribosomal RNA (589 nucleotides) under uncultured fungus. RNAcentral describes it as "eukaryotic LSU rRNA". The stretch from base 191 to 343 matches the Rfam family "5.8S ribosomal RNA". Lineage: Eukaryota; Fungi. The record is from RNAcentral.